CUAACGUUGGCUGCAAUUUAAUGCCACAACCUUUACACAUUGUGUUUUUUGUUGUUUUUUUGCCUCUCAGACAAUCGCUACGUCUAAAUAGACAAAAGGUUUUUUAAGACAGUUAAGGCGGAAUAGAAUAUCCGAAUUUUUUCAAAUUCAGAUCGUUCCUUUGAACGUAAAAUAUCACUUAAAAGAAAUUUCUUACGUAUUAGAUUACCAAAUCACUUCAGUUUGAAAAAAAAAUGGCGAAAAGCCGGAUUUUAAUAUUUGGUUGCCUAAUGAUUUUCUUCUGCUGCGGUGCUGUCCGAUCGUCUUCAAUCAAUGUCAACCAGUAUUCAUGUAAAAGUCAAGAUAAAGAGCGACUUGAGGAGUGUACAUUUGGAUGCUGUGAAGAUAGUGGAAUUUCUAGAUGUUGUACAUUUUCACAGGAUGUCACUCCUUCCCUGAUAGCUUUUGGAGUAAUCUGUUUAGCUGUUUUAAGUAUAAGUCUUAUCAUUGCUGUAUCUGGAGGCGAAAAGGACAAAGGGAGCUCUAGCAAACAAAAUGGUGGCCAUGGUUGUUGCCAUUGUCACGACUGUUUAAAGGAUAAUUCUUGUUUUAAAUGAUGAAGAAAAUUGUCGCAAAUAUAUAAACAACAAUUAGGCACCUAGUUGACAAACUGAGUUUGUAUUAAUUCACAAUAGUCAGCAUAACAUUUUGUCAUGUUAUUUCAGAGAAGUUAAGUGUUGAAAGUGUUUUUUUAUCUGAUAAGAUUUCUGUAUUUCUAUUAAAUCGUAACAAUUUUAA
Ruditapes philippinarum (Manila clam) is the source of this 777-nucleotide long non-coding RNA. RefSeq lists it as uncharacterized. Lineage: Eukaryota; Metazoa; Mollusca; Bivalvia; Venerida; Veneridae. The transcript is spliced from 2 exons. The record is from RefSeq and is a predicted model, not a curated record.